RNAcentral lists this ribosomal RNA (432 nucleotides) under uncultured bacterium. RNAcentral's name for it is "partial 16S ribosomal RNA". It matches the Rfam family "Bacterial small subunit ribosomal RNA", at positions 29 to 507 of the family's 1533-position model. The record is from RNAcentral.
ACGAACGCUGGCGGCAUGCCUCACACAUGCAAGUCGAACGAGACCUUCGGGUCUAGUGGCGCACGGGUGCGUAACGCGUGGGAACCUGCCCUUAGGUUCGGAAUAACUCCCCGAAAGGGGUGCUAAUACCGGAUAAUGUCUUCGGACCAAAGAUUUAUCGCCUUUGGAUGGGCCCGCGUUGGAUUAGCUAGUUGGUAGUGUAAAAGCCUACCAAGGCGACGAUCCAUAGCUGGUCUGAGAGGAUGAUCAGCCACACUGGGACUGAGACACGGCCCAGACUCCUACGGGAGGCAGCAGUGGGGAAUAUUGGACAAUGGGCGAAAGCCUGAUCCAGCAAUGCCGCGUGAGUGAUGAAGGCCUUAGGGUUGUAAAGCUCUUUUACCCGGGAUGAUAAUGACAGUACCGGGAGAAUAAGCUCCGGCUAACUCCGUG